CACGGAGUUAGCCGAUGCUUUUUCUUCGGAUACACGCAGUCCGGGACACGUCCCGGGUUUUGUUCUCCGACAAAAGAGGUUUACAACCCAUAGGGCCGUCUUCCCUCACGCGGCUUGGCUGGUUCAGGAUCUCUCCCAUUGACCAAUAUUCCUCACUGCUGCCUCCCGUAGGAGCCUGGUCCGUGUCUCAGUACCAGUGUGGGGGACCUUCCUCUCAGAACCCCUACGCAUCGUCGCCACGGUGGGCCGUUACCCCGCCGUCAAGCUAAUGCGCCGCAUGCCCAUCCUCUUCCGAUGAAUCUUUCCUCGAUCUCGGAUGCCCGAAACCGAUAUACGCGGGAUUAGCCUCCCUUUCGGAAGGUUGUCCCCCUGAAGAGGGCAGGUUGCAUACGUGUUACUCACCCGUGCGCCGGUCGCCGGCAAGGAAAGCAAGCUUCCCUCCCGAUGCCCCUCGACUUGCAUGUGUUAAGCCUGCCGCUAGCGUUCAUCCUGAGCCAGGAUCAAACUCU
Molecule: ribosomal RNA, 509 nt
Filed under: uncultured Bacteroidales bacterium
Lineage: Bacteria; Pseudomonadati; Bacteroidota; Bacteroidia; Bacteroidales
Description: partial 16S ribosomal RNA
Source: RNAcentral